RNAcentral lists this unclassified non-coding RNA (474 nucleotides) under Zea mays. Its description in RNAcentral is "misc RNA Zm00001eb325400". Lineage: Eukaryota; Viridiplantae; Streptophyta; Magnoliopsida; Poales; Poaceae. The record is from RNAcentral.
CCCGCUUCAACAGAGCCCUCAUGCUUCGAUGGCUUUGGUAUAAAUGGACUGACACAUGCAAACCAUGGGCCACUUUACCUCAUGCCGCCACCGAAGCUGAAUUGGCACUCUUCCGGUCAUGUACAUUUCUCACUCUAGGAAAUGGUGAAAGAACAAAUUUCUGGAAGGAUAGGUGGAUUAAUGGUACAACACCUAUGGACAUAGCCUCUAGCUGCUUCAGACUUGCAAGGAGGAAGAAUCACUCAGUAAAAAAUGCCCUUGCAAGGAACAGGUGGAUGGUGGGUCUGCAACAUCUUACUACUAAUGACUAGGCUCGUCAGUUCCUUCACCUUUGGCUUGCUGUAAGGUCUGUUCAGUUAACUGACCAACAGGACACCGUCACAUUGAAUUUUGGGAACACCAAUUGCUACACGGCUAGUUCAGCGUAUCAAGUCCAAUUCUUUGGUACCAUGAACAAGCACAAUUGGAUGCAGA